Molecule: long non-coding RNA, 1037 nt
Organism: Neofelis nebulosa (Clouded leopard)
Lineage: Eukaryota; Metazoa; Chordata; Mammalia; Carnivora; Felidae
Exons: 2
Source: RefSeq, a predicted model, not a curated record
GAAAGAAAGAAAUGGAAAAGACCCAACAAGCAAAUGCCGAGUGGGGAAUUGUAUCGCUGCUCUGACAAACCAUGGAGGAGCUGGUCUGGACGGCGUCCAGAAAACCCCCGUGUGGCUGGUAUGCCCACCGACCGGGCAGAGGCCACGGAAGAGGCCGUGUCCUCCUGUCAGAGGUGUGUCCGAAACAUCCGUGCAGAGAUGCUGUGAUGGGUACAAUGGCUUGAACGUAUUUCACAUACAACUCAAACAAUAAAGCAAACCCAGCAAAAGAGCAGGAAUUGUUCAUCUCUUGAUGGAGACGAGGAGAUUUACGUUCUCCUACUUUCUGCCGCCAGCUGCUCACAGCUCCGGGGACGACUUCCUGACCCAGAAGGACCCGGGUAAACCCGGGGCAGAGGUCACGAGGUGGAGACUUCACACAGAGACAGUGCGGCCCGGAGGAGCAGUGGCAGGGGCUUCCGGAUGCCUGGGCCACAAACACCCUCCUUUUAUCCCGACUCGAGCCGCGCGGGCCAAGGACCAGCCUGUGCCCAGGACCAGCAGACUCCGCACUCCCAGCCCCCUCUGUCACUGCCCGCUGGCUCCUGUGUUCUGUCCCGGGUCCCAUGCGGCUUCUCCCAGCAAGGACAGCACAGCAGGCAGGCGGCUCGGUGACUCCACAAAGUGGCUUUGGAGGCGGACGGCCGCUCCAAAAGAAUUCCCGGAGCUUGACCCUUCCUGGCUCGGUGCCCCGCUCUACGGUGACUGGGACGCCACACAGCGGGCCUGGGAGAGGGGACAGACAGUGCUGGAAAGCAGCAGGGGGACCGGAGACAUCCGCGGAGUUCGACUGGAAAUUUAGCCUCAGGAAAUUAUCUUGCAAACGCACAGACUCUUUCACACCGUAAUAACUUCCAUGGUUCUAAAUGUGGGAUAGGAGAAAAUUGAGAAUGGUCCAAAUUUCCUAAAGGACAGUCACAAAGGACAUUAGUGUGAUCCCAAUUUGUAAUUAUGUGAUGUGAUGUUCUAUUAUAUCAUGUUAGCUGGAAGGAAACACA